RNAcentral lists this ribosomal RNA (1319 nucleotides) under metagenome. RNAcentral describes it as "bacterial LSU rRNA". It matches the Rfam family "Bacterial large subunit ribosomal RNA", at positions 1563 to 2925 of the family's 2925-position model. The record is from RNAcentral.
GGAUUGGGAGGGUUCUACGGAACCCGUUUGGUGAAUCUAGUGCCGAGAAAAGCCUUCUAUGUGUUGAAUUUCUAGUACCCGUACCCCAAACCGACACAGGUGGGUGGGUAGAGCAUACCUAGGGGCGCGCGAUAACUCUCUCUAAGGAACUCGGCAAAAUGGCCCUGUAACUUCGGGAUAAGGGGUGCCUGCGUGAGCAGGCCGCAGUGAAAUGGCUCUGGCGACUGUUUACCAAAAACACAGGUCUCUGCUAAGUCGUAAGACGAUGUAUAGGGGCUGACUCCUGCCCAGUGCCGGAAGGUUAAGGAAGUUGGUUAGCGCAAGCGAAGCUGGCGACCGAAGCCCCGGUGAACGGCGGCCGUAACUAUAACGGUCCUAAGGUAGCGAAAUUCCUUGUCGGGUAAGUUCCGACCCGCACGAAAGGAGUAACGAUCAGAGCGCUGUCUCGGAGAGAGACACGGCGAAAUAGGAUUGUCCGUGAAGAUACGGACUACCUGCACCCGGACAGAAAGACCCUAUGAAGGUUUACUGUAACUUGGAAUUGUGUUCGGACUUUGUCUGCGCAGAAUAGGUGGGAGGCUAUGAAACGUUCCUCGCGGGGAACUGGAGCCAUCGUUGAGAUACCACUCUGGCAGAGUCUGGAUUCUAACCUACGGGGACAGUUCCAGGUGGGCAGUUUGACUGGGGCGGUCGCCUCCUAAAAUGUAACGGAGGCGCGCAAAGGUUCCCUCAGGCUGGUUGGAAAUCAGCCAUAGAGUGUAAAAGCAUAAGGGAGCUUGACUGUGAGACCUACAAGUCGAGCAGGGACGAAAGUCGGCUUUAGUGAUCCGACGGCACUGAGUGGAAGGGCCGUCGCUCAACGGAUAAAAGUUACUCUAAGGAUAACAGGCUGAUCUCCCCCAAGAGUUCACAUCGACGGGGAGGUUUGGCACCUCGAUGUCGGCUCGUCGCAACCUGGGGCGGUAGUACGUCCCAAGGGUUGGGCUGUUCGCCCAUUAAAGCGGCACGUGAGCUGGGUUCAGAACGUCGUGAGACAGUUCGGUCCAUAUCCGGUGUAGGCGUAGGAGCAUUGAAAGGAUCUCUCCUUAGUACGAGAGGACCGGGAGGGACGUACCUCUGGUGUACCUGUUAUCGUGCCAACGGUAAACGCAGGGUAGCCAUGUACGGAGUGGAUAACCGCUGAAAGCAUCUAAGUGGGAAGCCCACCUUAAGAUGAGUGCUCCCUUGAGGCCACGGGAAGACGACCCGUUUGAUAGGCGCUAGGUGGAAGUGCAGUAAUGCAUGCAGCCGAGGCGUACUAAUAGGCCGAUGGCUUGUCC